RNAcentral lists this ribosomal RNA (1307 nucleotides) under uncultured Helicobacter sp. Its description in RNAcentral is "16S ribosomal RNA". It matches the Rfam family "Bacterial small subunit ribosomal RNA", at positions 103 to 1438 of the family's 1533-position model. Lineage: Bacteria; Pseudomonadati; Campylobacterota; Epsilonproteobacteria; Campylobacterales; Helicobacteraceae. The record is from RNAcentral.
CGGGUGAGUAACGCAUAGGUCAUGUGCCUCUUAGUUUGGGAUAGCCAUUGGAAACGAUGAUUAAUACCAGAUACUCCCUACGGGGGAAAGAUUUAUCGCUAAGAGAUCAGCCUAUGUCCUAUCAGCUUGUUGGUAAGGUAAUGGCUUACCAAGGCUAUGACGGGUAUCCGGCCUGAGAGGGUGAACGGACACACUGGAACUGAGACACGGUCCAGACUCCUACGGGAGGCAGCAGUAGGGAAUAUUGCUCAAUGGGGGAAACCCUGAAGCAGCAACGCCGCGUGGAGGAUGAAGGUUUUAGGAUUGUAAACUCCUUUUGUUAGAGAAGAUAAUGACGGUAUCUAACGAAUAAGCACCGGCUAACUCCGUGCCAGCAGCCGCGGUAAUACGGAGGGUGCAAGCGUUACUCGGAAUCACUGGGCGUAAAGAGCGCGUAGGCGGGAUAGUCAGUCAGGUGUGAAAUCCUAUGGCUUAACCAUAGAACUGCAUUUGAAACUACUAUUCUAGAGUGUGGGAGAGGUAGGUGGAAUUCUUGGUGUAGGGGUAAAAUCCGUAGAGAUCAAGAGGAAUACUCAUUGCGAAGGCGACCUGCUGGAACAUUACUGACGCUGAUUGCGCGAAAGCGUGGGGAGCAAACAGGAUUAGAUACCCUGGUAGUCCACGCCCUAAACGAUGGAUGCUAGUUGUUGGAGGGCUUAGUCUCUCCAGUAAUGCAGCUAACGCAUUAAGCAUCCCGCCUGGGGAGUACGGUCGCAAGAUUAAAACUCAAAGGAAUAGACGGGGACCCGCACAAGCGGUGGAGCAUGUGGUUUAAUUCGAAGAUACACGAAGAACCUUACCUAGGCUUGACAUUGAGAGAAUCCGCUAGAAAUAGUGGAGUGUCUGGCUUGCCAGACCUUGAAAACAGGUGCUGCACGGCUGUCGUCAGCUCGUGUCGUGAGAUGUUGGGUUAAGUCCCGCAACGAGCGCAACCCCCUUUCUUAGUUGCUAACAGGUUAUGCUGAGAACUCUAAGGAUACUGCCUCCGUAAGGAGGAGGAAGGUGGGGACGACGUCAAGUCAUCAUGGCCCUUACGCCUAGGGCUACACACGUGCUACAAUGGGGUGCACAAAGAGAAGCAAUACUGCGAAGUGGAGCCAAUCUUCAAAACAUCUCUCAGUUCGGAUUGUAGGCUGCAACUCGCCUGCAUGAAGCUGGAAUCGCUAGUAAUCGCAAAUCAGCCAUGUUGCGGUGAAUACGUUCCCGGGUCUUGUACUCACCGCCCGUCACACCAUGGGAGUUGUGUUUGCCUUAAGUCAGGAUGCUAA